GAUGAACGCUGGCGAGAUGCCUUACACAUGCAAGUCGUACGAGAGUUUUAACUCAAGUGGCGGACGGGUGAGUAACACGUAAGAAUUUGCCUUUAGGAGGGGGACAACAACUGGAAACGGUUGCUAAUACCCCAUAUGCUUUCGAGUGAAAUGGAUUUUCCGCCUAGAGAGAAGCUUGCGGCUGAUUAGCUUGUUGGUGAGGUAAUGGCUCACCAAGGCGACGAUCAGUAUCUGGUUUGAGAGGACGAUCAGACACACUGGAACUGAGACACGGUCCAGACUCCUACGGGAGGCAGCAGUGGGGAAUUUUGCGCAAUGGGGGAAACCCUGACGCAGCAACGCCGCGUGAAGGAUGAAGGCCUUCGGGUCGUAAACUUCUGUCAGAUGGGAAGAAGGCUUGUCGGUUAAGAGCUAGCAAGCUUGACGGUACCAUCAAAGGAAGUCCCGGCUAACUCCGUGCCAGCCCGCCGCGGUAAUACCCUGAGACCGC
Molecule: ribosomal RNA, 490 nt
Filed under: uncultured bacterium
Lineage: Bacteria
Description: bacterial SSU rRNA
Rfam family: Bacterial small subunit ribosomal RNA
Source: RNAcentral